GAUUAUGGCUCAGAACGAACGCUGGCGGCAGGCCUAACACAUGCAAGUCGAGCGCGCCCUUCGGGGUGAGCGGCGGACGGGUUAGUAACGCGUGGGAACGUACCCUUUGGUAGGGAAUAGCCACUGGAAACGGUGAGUAAUACCCUAUGAGCCCUUCGGGGGAAAGAUUUAUCGCCAAAGGAUCGGCCCGCGUUAGAUUAGGUAGUUGGUGGGGUAAUGGCCUACCAAGCCUACGAUCUAUAGCUGGUUUUAGAGGAUGAUCAGCAACACUGGGACUGAGACACGGCCCAGACUCCUACGGGAGGCAGCAGUGGGGAAUCUUGGACAAUGGGGGCAACCCUGAUCCAGCCAUGCCGCGUGAGUGAAGAAGGCCUUAGGGUCGUAAAGCUCUUUCGCCUGUGAAGAUAAUGACGGUAGCAGGUAAAGAAACCCCGGCUAACUCCGUGCCAGCCGCCGC
RNAcentral lists this ribosomal RNA (457 nucleotides) under uncultured bacterium. RNAcentral's name for it is "bacterial SSU rRNA". It matches the Rfam family "Bacterial small subunit ribosomal RNA", at positions 15 to 518 of the family's 1533-position model. The record is from RNAcentral.